UGACUUCCCAUCGUUUCAGGGAAAAAAAAGGACAAUGACGUUGACUUGUAGAUGCGGCAUGGACAUGGAGAAGGAAGCAGGAGGUUUUAGCCUUCGCCGCGGCCGGUGCUGUAAUCAGGAAUCACGAUCGAAGAGGAUGACGUCUGGCCUGGCCAUUCACAAUAUUAUGAUGCGUAUUUGCUGCCAUACUGCGACUGCUACGAUUACUAGUAGUCGUCGUCAUUUAUUCUCCAAAAGUUGUAGUAAUAUCCAGUCGGCGUCGGGGUGGGGCAAUCUCAAACGCUUUCUGUCUCUGCGACCGCCACCGCCACCGCCAACGCUACUGCCUCACUGCUUUUCUUCUGCUUCGUCCUUAUCCUCCAUCACAGAUGCAUCCUCAGUUGCAACCACUUCCACUCCUGCUCUUUCAGAGGAGGACGUCAUGAUGGGAUAUGUAUUUGGGAAGAAGAAGGCCACUCAAGUUGCUCACUCCUUGUGGAAGCGUGUUGUCCAAAAAGGUGACGUGGUUAUUGAUGCUACUUGUGGCAACGGCCAUGAUACCUUGGCCCUUGUCAACUUGGUUGCUGAUAACACCAUACAUGGAGGCCGUGUUUAUGCUAUGGACAUUCAGAAAGUUUCUUUGGAGACUACUUCACUUUUACUGGAUCAGUCUCUUACUCCAGAUCUGGUGACACACUGAUGGAUGCUUCUGGACAUUAGCUGUUUAAAUCUUCAGAUUUUUUUUUGCCCCCAUCUCUGUAUAGUCUGUUCAAUGCUUGCCCAUCGUUUGGCAUUUUUAUUCCUCGUCUUUAUAGUUCACAAAAGUUGGCUCAUGCAUUUUGUACAUCUGCAUCGCUCUAAAAUAUUUUCAGAUUCUACACAAUGUAUGAAGCCUAGAGAUUUUGAAGACUACGAUUGACUAAAUGCAUGCAAUUAGUGCAAUGUCAUUUCCAGAGUUUGAGAGAUCACUCUUAAGCAAAACAAUUUGAAGAUUUUCUAGUCCUUGCAGCCACAUUAGCUGGCCAAGCACUGCAUUUUACGUUUACAUUUAAUUCUUCAGAAAUGCAACUGGACUUUAGAAUACUAGAAGCAGGUCCAGCUGUAACCAUCACUUCCUACGCUUGCAUUUCUUAAUAUGCACCCCUUUUGUUCUCUUAACCGCACGUUUUACUAAAUACCUCUGAAACCCAAAACUGAGGUACAUUUGUUUGGUUUGAAAUUUAAAGUGACUAAAAUCUCUCUCUCUCAACGUAAUUGAACCUUGUAAAGACUGGCUCUCCCAUUUCACAUUAUUUCUAAAUUUUAUUGUCAUGCUAUUAAAUGCAGAGAAAGCAUGUUGAGCUGUUCCUGAUGUGUCAUAGCAAAAUGGAGGAAGUUGUUCCCAGUGAUGUUGCUGUAAGGUUAGUUGUGUUCAACUUAGG
Molecule: non-coding RNA, 1400 nt
Organism: Coffea arabica (coffee)
Lineage: Eukaryota; Viridiplantae; Streptophyta; Magnoliopsida; Gentianales; Rubiaceae
Source: RefSeq, a predicted model, not a curated record